This 373-nucleotide ribosomal RNA is filed under the name uncultured bacterium. Its description in RNAcentral is "bacterial SSU rRNA". It matches the Rfam family "Bacterial small subunit ribosomal RNA", at positions 521 to 896 of the family's 1533-position model. The record is from RNAcentral.
UAAUACGGAGGGUGCAAGCGUUAUCCGGAUUCACUGGGUUUAAAGGGUGCGUAGGUGGACUGGUAAGUCCGUGGUGAAAUCCCCAAGCUUAACUUGGGAACUGCCGUGGAUACUAUCAGUCUUGAAUACUGUGGAGGUAAGCGGAAUAUGUCAUGUAGCGGUGAAAUGCUUAGAUAUGACAUAGAACACCGAUAGCGAAGGCAGCUUGCUACACAGUCAUUGACACUGAGGCACGAAAGCGUGGGGAGCAAACAGGAUUAGAUACCCUGGUAGUCCACGCCCUAAACGAUGAUUACUCGACAUACGCGAUACACUGUGUGUGUCUGAGCGAAAGCAUUAAGUAAUCCACCUGGGAAGUACGACCGCAAGGUUG